GGUCAAGCUAUGAAGGGCACACGGUGGAUGCCUUGGCAUCGAGAGGCGAUGAAGGACGUGGGCAGCUGCGAAAAGCUUCGGGGAGUGGCUAACACACUUUGAUCCGAAGAUAUCCGAAUCGGGCAACCGUCUGGGGUCAUACCCAGAAGUCCAACACUGAAUUCAUAGGUGUUGGAUAGC
Molecule: ribosomal RNA, 180 nt
Filed under: Deltaproteobacteria bacterium
Lineage: Bacteria; Pseudomonadati; Myxococcota; Myxococcia
Description: partial 23S ribosomal RNA
Rfam family: Bacterial large subunit ribosomal RNA
Source: RNAcentral